Molecule: ribosomal RNA, 541 nt
Filed under: uncultured Acidobacteriota bacterium
Lineage: Bacteria; Pseudomonadati; Acidobacteriota
Description: bacterial SSU rRNA
Rfam family: Bacterial small subunit ribosomal RNA
Source: RNAcentral
GGCGGCGUGCCUAACACAUGCAAGUCGAACGCGGUUACUUCGCAAGAGGUAACUGAGUGGCGAACGGGUGAGUAACACGUGGGUGACCUACCUUCGAAUGGGGGAUAACGUCCCGAAAGGGACGCUAAUACCGCAUAACAUCCUGCCUUUGAACAGGUGGAGAUCAAAGCCGGGGAUCGCAAGACCUGGCGUUUGAAGAGGGGCCCGCGUCUGAUUAGCUAGUUGGUGAGGUAACGGCCCACCAAGGCGACGAUCAGUAUCCGGCCUGAGAGGGCGGACGGACACACUGGGACUGAGACACGGCCCAGACUCCUACGGGAGGCAGCAGUGGGGAAUUGUUCGCAAUGGGCGCAAGCCUGACGACGCAACGCCGCGUGGAGGAUGAAGGUCUUCGGAUUGUAAACUCCUGUUGCCCGGGACGAAAAGCUUCGACCUAACACGUCGAAGUCUGACGGUACCGGGUGAGGAAGCCCCGGCUAACUCUGUGCCAGCAGCCGCGGUAAUACAGANGGGGCAAGCGUUGUUCGGAAUUACUGGGCGU